RNAcentral lists this long non-coding RNA (1199 nucleotides) under Helicoverpa zea (corn earworm). RNAcentral describes it as "uncharacterized LOC124645920". Lineage: Eukaryota; Metazoa; Arthropoda; Insecta; Lepidoptera; Noctuidae. The record is from RNAcentral.
AAUCAAAUCAUAAAUCAAAGCAUUUAUUCGCGUUCAUGACGCAUAUCGAACACAAACAGUAGCAUACAUAAUCAUGAAAAAAAAAAAAAAAAAACACAAAAAUAAAAUAAAAACAUCAAUAAAAAGAAAACACAAGAAUAAUAAGAAUAUGCGUCACAAGCACGCGAAAUGGCCCUCGCUCAGCAUUAUGCAGCGACCCUAUGCGAGACAGAGUCGCUGCGCUGGUUUUCAGCGAUGGCCAGCACUAACAUGUGACGUCAAUCGGUGCAUUUAAGCUAAACUAAAUAUAUAAAAUAUAAAAAGUGUUAUAUAUAUUUAUGGAUAUAAAAUACUACUAUAAAAACAAACUAAAUAUAAAUAGAGAAAAAUAACUACCUAGUUACGCAGCAUUCCGAACGAAUGCGACUGGAAGUGACACUCGCGCUUCGCAAAAUUAUAUUUUAUCUGUGGUCUAUGCCGCCGACCAUUACACAAACACAAAUAGUCAAUAUACAAACAAUUUGUGUGAGAAUUAGGUAAUGGCGACGGAGGCAUACCAAGAAUUAUUAUGCAAUGCCUCAUGUAGAUAUCAUGUAGACGAGUGUAUAAAUGUGUAUAGUGUUGAGAAAAGAAAAAUCGAACAUGAAUUUGUGUAAAGGGUGUAUUAAAUGUGAGUAUGUAGGUCGAUCGUAUUCCUGCUACCAGGAUGGCGUCGGUAAGUGAUAUUAUUAUUUUAUUUUUUAUACCUGUGAACGUCACUACUGGAAUUAUAAAUAUAUAUAGAUAUUAAUUAUUUGAUAAGUUGAAGUCGGACUGAGACAUACCUAAUUACUAACUUAGAAAUUGACUUACCAUUGAGCAUUGCACAUAGAUGAAUUAAAUAUAAAUUGUAAUUAGAAAAUUAAAGGAUUGAAUUAAAUUACAGACGACAAUAUGGGACAAAUGACAGAGAGAUGAAGAAGAAGGGUUGACCGAAGCAGAUGCUCCACCGUGCCGAGGAGGAUGAUUCAAAAGCAGCCCACACUGCAGGAAGUGAUCCCCAAACCAGAGCAUGUGUGCCAUGACCCCUGAGGCAUCGAAGUGGGGGAGGGAGAUCAUUCCAGCAGCGCGUGGCUGCAAACUUGAAGCAUCCUCUGAAUGCCGUAGUGCGAUGCAUGGGAACGGUCAGCGGACACACUAUGGAGCGAAGACCAUGCUUUAUCUGGCUUUGUUUCCAGGUC